This 253-nucleotide ribosomal RNA is filed under the name uncultured bacterium. Its description in RNAcentral is "partial 16S ribosomal RNA". It matches the Rfam family "Bacterial small subunit ribosomal RNA", at positions 524 to 776 of the family's 1533-position model. The record is from RNAcentral.
UACGUAGGGUGCAAGCGUUGUCCGGAAUUAUUGGGCGUAAAGAGCUCGUAGGCGGUUUGUCGCGUCGGCUGUGAAAACUCGGGGCUCAACCCCGAGCCUGCAGUCGAUACGGGCAGACUAGAGUGCGGUAGGGGAGACUGGAAUUCCUGGUGUAGCGGUGAAAUGCGCAGAUAUCAGGAGGAACACCGGUGGCGAAGGCGGGUCUCUGGGCCGUAACUGACGCUGAGGAGCGAAAGCGUGGGGAGCGAACAGG